RNAcentral lists this ribosomal RNA (254 nucleotides) under uncultured bacterium. RNAcentral describes it as "partial 16S ribosomal RNA". It matches the Rfam family "Bacterial small subunit ribosomal RNA", at positions 524 to 776 of the family's 1533-position model. The record is from RNAcentral.
UACGGGGGGAGCAAGCGUUGUUCGGAUUUACUGGGCGUAAAGGGCGCGUAGGCGGCCACUGCAAGUCGGUUGUGAAAUCUCUGGGCUUAACCCAGAAAGGUCAACCGAUACUGCGGGGCUAGAGUGCAGAAGGGGCAACUGGAAUUCUCGGUGUAGCGGUGAAAUGCGUAGAUAUCGAGAGGAACACCUGCGGCGAAGGCGGGUUGCUGGGCUGACACUGACGCUGAAGCGCGAAAGCUAGGGGAGCGAACGGG